This 254-nucleotide ribosomal RNA is filed under the name uncultured bacterium. RNAcentral's name for it is "partial 16S ribosomal RNA". It matches the Rfam family "Bacterial small subunit ribosomal RNA", at positions 524 to 776 of the family's 1533-position model. The record is from RNAcentral.
UACGUAGGGGCCUAGCGUUGUCCGGAUUUAUUGGGCGUAAAGAGCUCGUAGGCGGCUUGGUAAGUCAGGUGUGAAAUCUCCACGCUCAACGUGGAGGGGCCACCUGAUACUGCCAUGGCUUGAGUCCGGUAGGGGAGUGUGGAAUUCCCGGUGUAGCGGUGAAAUGCGCAGAUAUCGGGAGGAACAUCCGUAGCGAAGGCGGCACUCUGGGCCGGUACUGACGCUGAGGAGCGAAAGCGUGGGGAGCAAACAGG